AAAUUGAAGAGUUUGAUCAUGGCUCAGAUUGAACGCUGGCGGCAGGCCUAACACAUGCAAGUCGAACGGUAACAGGAAGAAGCUUGCUUCUUUGCUGACGAGUGGCGGACGGGUGAGUAAUGUCUGGGAAACUGCCUGAUGGAGGGGGAUAACUACUGGAAACGGUAGCUAAUACCGCAUAACGUCGCAAGACCAAAGAGGGGGACCUUCGGGCCUCUUGCCAUCGGAUGUGCCCAGAUGGGAUUAGCUUGUUGGUGGGGUAACGGCUCACCAAGGCGACGAUCCCUAGCUGGUCUGAGAGGAUGACCAGCCACACUGGAACUGAGACACGGUCCAGACUCCUACGGGAGGCAGCAGUGGGGAAUAUUGCACAAUGGGCGCAAGCCUGAUGCAGCCAUGCCGCGUGUAUGAAGAAGGCCUUCGGGUUGUAAAGUACUUUCAGCGGGGAGGAAGGGAGUAAAGUUAAUACCUUUACUCAUUGACGUUACCCGCAGAAGAAGCACCGGCUAACUCCGUGCCAGCAGCCGCGGUAAUACGGAGGGUGCAAGCGUUAAUCGGAAUUACUGGGCGUAAAGCGCACGCAGGCGGUUUGUUAAGUCAGAUGUGAAAUCCCCGGGCUCAACCUGGGAACUGCAUCUGAUACUGGCAAGCUUGAGUCUCGUAGAGGGGGGUAGAAUUCCAGGUGUAGCGGUGAAAUGCGUAGAGAUCUGGAGGAAUACCGGUGGCGAAGGCGGCCCCCUGGACGAAGACUGACGCUCAGGUGCGAAAGCGUGGGGAGCAAACAGGAUUAGAUACCCUGGUAGUCCACGCCGUAAACGAUGUCGACUUGGAGGUUGUGCCCUUGAGGCGUGGCUUCCGGAGCUAACGCGUUAAGUCGACCGCCUGGGGAGUACGGCCGCAAGGUUAAAACUCAAAUGAAUUGACGGGGGCCCGCACAAGCGGUGGAGCAUGUGGUUUAAUUCGAUGCAACGCGAAGAACCUUACCUGGUCUUGACAUCCACAGAACUUUCCAGAGAUGGAUUGGUGCCUUCGGGAACUGUGAGACAGGUGCUGCAUGGCUGUCGUCAGCUCGUGUUGUGAAAUGUUGGGUUAAGUCCCGCAACGAGCGCAACCCUUAUCCUUUGUUGCCAGCGGUCCGGCCGGGAACUCAAAGGAGACUGCCAGUGAUAAACUGGAGGAAGGUGGGGAUGACGUCAAGUCAUCAUGGCCCUUACGACCAGGGCUACACACGUGCUACAAUGGCGCAUACAAAGAGAAGCGACCUCGCGAGAGCAAGCGGACCUCAUAAAGUGCGUCGUAGUCCGGAUUGGAGUCUGCAACUCGACUCCAUGAAGUCGGAAUCGCUAGUAAUCGUGGAUCAGAAUGCCACGGUGAAUACGUUCCCGGGCCUUGUACACACCGCCCGUCACACCAUGGGAGUGGGUUGCAAAAGAAGUAGGUAGCUUAACCUUCGGGAGGGCGCUUACCACUUUGUGAUUCAUGACUGGGGUGAAGUCGUAACAAGGUAACCGUAGGGGAACCUGCGGUUGGAUCACCUCCUUA
This 1542-nucleotide ribosomal RNA is filed under the name Escherichia coli. RNAcentral's name for it is "bacterial SSU rRNA". It matches the Rfam family "Bacterial small subunit ribosomal RNA". RNAcentral also lists the same sequence under 4 other names. Lineage: Bacteria; Pseudomonadati; Pseudomonadota; Gammaproteobacteria; Enterobacterales; Enterobacteriaceae. The record is from RNAcentral.